RNAcentral lists this microRNA precursor (191 nucleotides) under Oryza barthii. Its description in RNAcentral is "MIR812 microRNA precursor family". It matches the Rfam family "MIR812 microRNA precursor family". The record is from Rfam by way of RNAcentral. Lineage: Eukaryota; Viridiplantae; Streptophyta; Magnoliopsida; Poales; Poaceae.
AAUAAAUGUAGUUCUGUACUAUUUAUGUCUUGACUGUUCAUCUUAUUUAAAAAAAAUUAUAAUUAGUAUUUUAUUGUUAUUAGAUAAUAAAAUAUAAAUAUUACUUAUUGUGUGACUAUUUUUUUUCAAUUUUUUCAUAAAAUUUUUAAAUAAGAUGAUCGGUCAAACGUGUCCUCACGACUACACUUAUU